This is an RNA transcript of Callithrix jacchus (white-tufted-ear marmoset), 2244 nucleotides long. RefSeq lists it as uncharacterized. The record is from RefSeq and is a predicted model, not a curated record. Lineage: Eukaryota; Metazoa; Chordata; Mammalia; Primates; Cebidae.
CACCUCCUCCUCCACCUCCACUUCCUACUCCACCUCCACCUCCUCCCUGCAUACAAACAAACAUGCUCACAGCAUCACAACAACACCUCCACUUCCUACUCCACCUCCACCUCCUCCCUGCAUACAAACAAACAUGCUCACAGCAUCACAACAUCACCUCCCUAUGCAGAGAACACACACCGUUACCAUCACCACCAUCACCUCCACCUCCACCACCAUCACCACCACCUCCUCCUCCACCUCCUCCUCCACCUCGUCCUCCACCUCCACCUCCACCUCCUCCUCCUCCUCCACCUCGUCCUCCACCUCCACCUCCUACUCCACCUCCACCUCCUCCCUGCGUACAAACAAACAUGCUCACAGCAUCAUAAUAUCACCUCCCUGUGCAGAGAACACACACACAUCGUUAUUACCAUCACCACCAUCACCACCAUCACCUCCACCACUGCUACCACCCCACAUGCAGAACAGAAACAGACACACAACACCACACCCCUACCAUUACUACCCCUGAAGGACAGUGGUUUGGAGAAGGCAUCACCUUUAACUGGCCUGAGAACCAGAUGCUAGGGGACUAACCGGGUGCUACAAAAAGAAAUCUGCUGGAUAUCAGACUCUGAGGAGCCUGAGACACAUUCCCCCAAAAGCUUAUGCUUUCUAGUCUACCCACAUCGGCCAUGACACAGUCCGACGCCGCAGUGUCUUCCACACUGACUUCCACAGUGGCGGAAAGCUGAGCUCUGCCAGCGCAGUGAUGACGCUGCCGGAAGAAGCGAGCUGCCCCUCAGACCUGCAGCAGGUGGAUAAUAAUGUUCUGCCUUUCCUGGAGCUAAGGCAGGCCAAUGCUGGGCCAUCCUCCCUCAAUGAAAUGCAGUCGUGCAAACCAGGAGGCGAGAGGAACAUGCGCAGGUGACUCUACAUGAGGAUAAAUGCUGAGGUGCCCCCAGAACGAUCCUCCUGCAGCAGGUGUCUCAGAAACGAGCUGCCGUCUCCAGGAGAGUUCAUGCUCUGGCACGUGACUUUCUCAGCCAUCAGACGGAGUAACAGCGGUGCCUUCCACGUAGACACGUUGGUGUUGAUGACAUGGUGUCUGGCUUAAAAUCAAUGCUCAAGGAAUGCUGGGAUUUCAAGUUACUCUCUAUUUUUAAAUCUAUAUGUGCAUUUAUCUUUUUAAAGUUGUUGUUUUUCUUUUGCUCAUGAUGAUCGAAGGCUGGGACCCCUUGUCCGUUUCUCUUAAAGGCCAUACAGUCUAACACAGCAUCACUUCUGACAAAAGGCCAGAGCGCAGCGGCCCCUGGGUGCUCAGAGUUACAACUACACAGAGUUUUUUUUUUUCUAUUUUGGUGAGAGUAACACCAGGACACAGAGACGGACAUUCCCACACCUGGGUUUCCAUCAUACCGUGUCCUGCCCACAAUUUCCAUCACAAGGCUACCCACAGCUGUCACCAGGAACAGCUGCGUGGGAAGAAAGGGGCUUAGAAGAUUGGCCUCAGCUCUGCAGAGAAGCCCACGCAAGAGGUCCCCUGAGCUAAGCCAGGUGGAAUGAGGAGGGUGUCAACAUGCGCACUGCGUCUCAGGCCACCCGUGCGACAUUUUCACCGAGAAGUUUUCUAAAGCAUGGAGCUGGUCUUCAGCUCACUGGUUCAUCAAGCAUACUACACAUCCAGCACCUGUGCAGGCAGUCCGCAGUCCUGCGUAAGGCUCUGCCCGGAAGACAUCCCGAAUCCCGGCUCAGCCAGCACCUCUCCCUGCCCCAGCAGCUCCCAGCCAGCACCUCUCCCUGCCCCAGCAGCUCCCAGCCAGCACCUCUCCCUGCCCCAGCAGCUCCCAGCCAGUGCCUUGGAAAAGGCAACCCGGACAUGUCCGUCCCUGGCCAGGAGGCACCGCCCAGCCCACCACUCUUAGGAGACCCCAGCAAAGUUUUCACUGGAAUCAUUUCCUCCUUUACAAAAUUGCCUGAAUCAGAAAAAAAAAGACACGUUUCAACCUUUCCCAUUUAGAUAAGCCUGGUGACCCAUUUAGUCCACUCUAAGCAACUUUAGCCAGAAGAACAAGGAUUAGACUUUGCCAAGUGGCCAGGGCACUCCACGGGCAAGCCCAGGAUGGCACUAUGUGUUCUACAUACACAUAUGCACCCACGUGUGUAUUGUAUAUAUGGACUACACUCCCGUACACGUGUUAGAUGCGUAGAUACGCUCGCCUUAAAAUAUCAUGUGCAUACACUGUUUGUAAAUACGUAGUA